UCUUGCAGAAAUUAAAGCAGUUCAGUUUUAACUGUCAAAAUAAUAAAAUAUAUUUUAUUUCUUAUAAUUUAGAGCAUUUUUUGUUUGUUAAAUUAAGGUUUUUGAUGUUGAUCAAACGGUUAGUGGCCAACAGCAAGUUGACGACAUGUUUAAACAAUUGAGACUCUCAAAUCAACACUUCAAUUGCCUAUAAUAAAAUCUAUAUAAAAAUGUAUAUUAAGCAUAUCAGAAUGUUGGUUUAAAUGUUUAUUAUCAAAACACACUAUUUUUUUAAAAGCGGAGGGAGGCUGCUUUGUUGCUCGCAGUCGUGGUGGAAAAUUGCAGAAAAAUAAUGAAACGGUUAUACAAUUAAAACAAAACGAAAUAAUUAGAUAAAUUAGAUAAAAAAAUACUUUGAUGAUCAAGCCUGAACAAGAUGAUCAAGUCAAAGUUGGAUUUCUCCACUUAAACACAAUUGUAAUUUUUCCCAUUUUUAACACUUUGUCACUAAAAUUGCUAACAUUAUGUUUUGGGUCAGGGUUGUAUACUCUAUUAAUCUCACUUUACAUGUAAUGGUGUCACUGCAAUCGUGUAAAUACUUCACAUUUUUACUGUAGAUUUUAUUUACAUUUUAUGGUAUUUUAUUUACCUCAUCAUAAACUGUAAAAUGUAAAAGCGGCUCUACUUAAAAACUUACUUCAAUUGGUAAAACAUUUUUCACUUUAAUUUUUUCAAUUAAACCGAGAAAUUUAAGUUGAAAAAACAUUAAAUUUUUAGGCAUUAUCAAUAAUUUGAUUCAACUUUAACUUCUUAUAGUGUAUAUUAUUCAAAUAUAUAUUUACCAUUUAGGUAUGCUGUCUUGAUAAUCCCAUAAAAAUCUUGGUACUGUGCAGGCACUUGAAUAAGUUUCACUAAUAUACAUCUUAUACUGUAUAUUCUAUUGUGGAAUGUAAUAUACAUUGUAUAAAAAACACUAUACUCUUUAUAGUUUAUGUUCAGGGUACCCCCAGGAUUGUCAAACCUAAAUUCAAGGCUUUUUAAAGGGAACAUUCCACGAAAAUCCGACUUUUUCCGUUUUUAAGGGACCUAACUUGCUCCCGGGUGCAUCUAAUAACGUAGAAAACGCGAAAAAUGAUAUCCCUGUAACUUUGUUUUGGUAAGGCUUCCUCUGCAACCAUGUGAAAAAAUAGGCCAGUCAGAUCCUGUUCCCCCAGUGACGUGGGUAGGGGGGCGUAUCGUAAUGUCACCGCCCCUUAGUCUGCAUGUUUCCACCCCCGGCUGACAUUUAGUUUUCGCACGUGAGUCUACGUUUUACCGGUUGUAGCGAUAUGGCAAAAGUUAGAGCUAAGCAUGCUAAUUGUUCCGUUGUUGGUUGCACAGACCAACACAAAUCGUUAUUUAGACUCUCUACCUCAGAGGUGACAAGAGUACAGUGGAUUGAUUUCAUUUUCGAUGGAAAUCCUCCCGAAAUCGUAAGCAAAAACCUGUAUGUGUGUACACAUCACUUCAAGCCGGAGUGCUUUUUGAACCUUGGACCGUAUGAAGCUGGAUUCGCUUCAAAGUUGUUACUGAACGAGGGAGCUAUUCCAACUCAACGAGCCAAAGCUGCAGAUGAAGGAAACGUAUUUAAAAGUAAUUUAAUGUUUUACGGCAGUACGAUUUUCAGUUCGCGCUUUCCCUUAGCAACGGUAAAGCUACAGUUACACUACAAAUAAGCUUACUAACUUACUAGCACAAACAAAGGGUGUGUUUGACCGAAAUAUAUAGGCUUAUGCAUUCGACUCAAAACAUCUUAAACUACUAAUGUAAUGUUCAUUUGCACUGUAGAUAAUUUGCUAAUUGCUUGCUUUUAGGGUUUGAUUAAAACAAGCACCAAUACAUUUUAUUUGACUGCCAAGAAGUUGAUUAAGGCAAAGUGUAUUGCUUAAAUGUAGUAUUUCUUUCCGAGAUAUUUAAAUAAGAGCAUUAGACAAUUCAUAUAUUUUGAAAGCACAUUUAAGUUAAACAGUAGCCUCCUGUCUGUGGCUGUUAGGCAAACAGAUAUGCUGCUUAUAGUGUUGGUCCUCACUUGUAAAGAUGUAACUUAGGUCAUAGAGAUGUGUGAUCACCUCUUGACUGCGAGACGACUAUUAUCAACAUCUCACUAAAUUAAUGUACAACUAGAGCAUAGUGAAAUGUAGGACCUAUUCAAACAAAGUAAUGUUUUACUGUAUUAUGUAGACAUAAAUUAUUCUGCUAAAAUAUAGGCUUCAUAGCUAAAAAAAUCUCCCAUGUUUACUGUGUAAUAUAAACUUAUAUUUAGGGGUACAGUGUGAAGUUUGACUAAACAUGCAUUUAUAAUUUCAUUUUUCCCUUUACGGUUUAGGCAAGCACAUCUAAGCAGUUUGUUGAUGCGGCCUGUCAGACGGAUCGUCCACCUCCACAUACAUAUGGCACAGAGUUGUCUAUGAAGACUCUAUCACAUCCAUUUAGAAGCGAAGGCACAUAGACAGACAUUGUGUCCUGCGCCAAUGUUGGCAUUGGCACCUCAACUGUCAGAGCUUCAGGACCAUUGCAUACAUCAACACUGCACAAAAGACCCCGUUUUGAACUGGAGGAGGAAGACGAUGACCCUUUGGAAGGUAGCUCAUCUGUGAUCUUUACAGAUCCACAGGAUGUCACAUAUGAUCCUCAACACUCAGUCACUUUGACUGUAACUGAAGGUUUGACAAUGGAAAAUUCUGCUUCGACUCACAAAAUGUCAACAUACAUUCUGUAUGAGAAUUGCCUACUGGAUUUAUUUGAGUUAUGCCCAAGGUGUCAACAUCAUUCUAAUCAAAAGACCAGAACCAUGGGCACACACUUAAUAGUUGAGCAAAACUGCCCACGUUGUGAGUUCUCAAGGAUAUGGCAUAGUCAACCUAUUAUUGGGUCUACUCCUGCCGGAAACCUUCAG
Long non-coding RNA from Misgurnus anguillicaudatus (oriental weatherfish), 2914 nucleotides. RefSeq lists it as uncharacterized. The record is from RefSeq and is a predicted model, not a curated record. Lineage: Eukaryota; Metazoa; Chordata; Actinopteri; Cypriniformes; Cobitidae.